This 273-nucleotide ribosomal RNA is filed under the name uncultured bacterium. Its description in RNAcentral is "partial 16S ribosomal RNA". It matches the Rfam family "Bacterial small subunit ribosomal RNA", at positions 524 to 796 of the family's 1533-position model. The record is from RNAcentral.
UACGUAGGGUGCAGGCGUUAAUCGGAAUUACUGGGCGUAAAGCGUGCGCAGGCGGUUUCUUAAGUCAGAUGUGAAAGCCCCGGGCUUAACCUGGGAACUGCGUUUGAAACUGGGAGACUUGAGUGUGGCAGAGGGGGGUGGAAUUCCACGUGUAGCAGUGAAAUGCGUAGAUAUGUGGAGGAACACCAAUGGCGAAGGCAGCCCCCUGGGUCAACACUGACGCUCAUGCACGAAAGCGUGGGGAGCAAACAGGAUUAGAAACCCCAGUAGUCC